GUUAUCCAGUUUAGUCAGCCUGUUGUAGGUUACUUGGGCAGUCUAAUUUAUUAAAAUAAGUUAUGAAUAUUAGCAAUUAAAAAUGCUAGAAAGUAAAUAAAUGAGAAGAAGUUCAAUAAAUGAAAAGAAGUUCUGAAAUAAAUUAUAUUAGCUCCAAAAAUUUAUUCCUUAGAAUGAUCUGAAGUAAAUUAAACUAGUUCUAAAAAUUUUAAAUAUU
Molecule: unclassified non-coding RNA, 217 nt
Filed under: Hevea brasiliensis (rubber tree)
Lineage: Eukaryota; Viridiplantae; Streptophyta; Magnoliopsida; Malpighiales; Euphorbiaceae
Source: RNAcentral